Molecule: long non-coding RNA, 421 nt
Organism: Lycium barbarum (goji berry)
Lineage: Eukaryota; Viridiplantae; Streptophyta; Magnoliopsida; Solanales; Solanaceae
Exons: 2
Source: RefSeq, a predicted model, not a curated record
UGUAUUAUACAAAAUGGGUUAGUAGUUACACGUAUAAACAAACCGAAAAGCAACAGAAAACACUGAAGACUCCAUUUUGCAUGAAAUCGAAGCAUCUAGAGCUCAUCUGACCUUAUAUUUGACCAAUCCCACAUGGUUUCAGAACAAAGAUUCAUGGCAUAUUUCAUGAUUGGGUGUAUUUUGUUUCAGUGUACUCAAGAUUGGAAUGGAAAUACUACAAAUGGUUGGUUAAGGAGGCCUUGAACGAGAAAGAAGGUGUAUGCAAUAUAAUUGCGAAGUACAUGGAAGACAAAUACCAGGAUGAGUUGCUAGUGAAUGUCAGAAGAAUUCUUGGUUUUUAAUUGGAGAAUUCUAUAACAAAGGGAGAGCAAUAAUUUAUUUGUAAUGGCGGAUAAUCUAAUAAGAUGAGAUAGAGUUUUCU